UCCAUAUAUAAUUCCACAUGUGUUAAUUCAUAGUUUUGAUGCCUUCAGUGUGAAUCUACAAUUUUCAGUCAUGGAAAUAAAGAAAACUCUUUGAAUGAGAAGGUGUGUCCAAACUUUUGUUCUGUACUGUAUAUAUAUAUAUA
Molecule: long non-coding RNA, 143 nt
Organism: Carassius carassius (crucian carp)
Lineage: Eukaryota; Metazoa; Chordata; Actinopteri; Cypriniformes; Cyprinidae
Exons: 2
Source: RefSeq, a predicted model, not a curated record